UACGUAGGGUGCGAGCGUUAAUCGGAAUUACUGGGCGUAAAGCGUGCGCAGGCGGUUUUGUAAGCCAGAUGUGAAAUCCCCGGGCUUAACCUGGGAAUGGCAUUUGGGACUGCAAGGCUGGAGUUUGGCAGAGGAGACUGGAAUUCCCGGUGUAGCAGUGAAAUGCGUAGAUAUCGGGAGGAAUACCGAUGGCGAAGGCAGGGCUCUGGGCUAUAACUGACGCGCAUGAACGAAAGCGUGGGGAGCAAACAGG
RNAcentral lists this ribosomal RNA (253 nucleotides) under uncultured bacterium. Its description in RNAcentral is "partial 16S ribosomal RNA". It matches the Rfam family "Bacterial small subunit ribosomal RNA", at positions 524 to 776 of the family's 1533-position model. The record is from RNAcentral.